Molecule: ribosomal RNA, 247 nt
Filed under: uncultured bacterium
Lineage: Bacteria
Description: partial 16S ribosomal RNA
Rfam family: Bacterial small subunit ribosomal RNA
Source: RNAcentral
UACGAAGGGUGCAAGCGUUACUCGGAAUUACUGGCGUAAAGGGUGCGUAGGUGGUCCGUUUAAGUCCGUUGUGAAAUCCCUGGGCUCAACCUGGGAAUGGCAGUGGAUACUGGACGGAUAGAAUGCGGUAGAGGUAGUGGAAUUCCUGGUGUAGCGGUGGAAUGCGCAGAUAUCAGGAGGAACACCAAUAGCGAAGGCAGCUCGCUGGACGUUACUGACACUGAGGCGCGAAGCGUGAGCGAACAGG